RNAcentral lists this ribosomal RNA (497 nucleotides) under uncultured bacterium. RNAcentral's name for it is "partial 16S ribosomal RNA". It matches the Rfam family "Bacterial small subunit ribosomal RNA", at positions 28 to 507 of the family's 1533-position model. The record is from RNAcentral.
GAUGAACGCUGGCGGCGUGCCUAAUACAUGCAAGUCGAGCGAACAGACGAGGAGCUUGCUCCUCUGACGUUAGCGGCGGACGGGUGAGUAACACGUGGAUAACCUACCUAUAAGACUGGGAUAACUUCGGGAAACCGGAGCUAAUACCGGAUAAUAUAUUGAACCGCAUGGUUCAAUAGUGAAAGACGGUUUUGCUGUCACUUAUAGAUGGAUCCGCGCCGCAUUAGCUAGUUGGUAAGGUAACGGCUUACCAAGGCAACGAUGCGUAGCCGACCUGAGAGGGUGAUCGGCCACACUGGAACUGAGACACGGUCCAGACUCCUACGGGAGGCAGCAGUAGGGAAUCUGCCGCAAUGGGCGAAAGCCUGACGGAGCAACGCCGCGUGAGUGAUGAAGGUCUUCGGAUCGGAAAACUCUGUUAUUAGGGAAGAACAAAUGUGUAAGUAACUAUGCACGUCUUGACGGUACCUAAUCAGAAAGCCACGGCUAACUACGUG